This 1428-nucleotide long non-coding RNA is filed under the name Sus scrofa (pig). Its description in RNAcentral is "lncRNA (ENSSSCG00005010976.1)". The record is from RNAcentral. Lineage: Eukaryota; Metazoa; Chordata; Mammalia; Artiodactyla; Suidae.
AGGCCCUGAAAGAAACGUUCUUCAGCAGCAAUAAAUGAAAGCUAACACAUGGAUAUUUGUGUCUGAAACACAUUUUGUUUCAGAACCAAAAGCUAGGAGUUCGCUUGUGGCACAGCAGGUUAAGGGUCUGGCGUUGUCACUGGCAUUGCUAAGGAACCUGCCAGCUCGGGUUCAGUCCCUGGCCUAGAAACUUCCAUAUGCCGUGGAUGUGGCCAAAAACAAAACAAACAAAACCAAAGGCUAGUCAAGAAAUAGGGAGUUCCUGUCGUGACACAGUGGAAACACAUUGGACUAGGAACCAUGAGAUUUUGGGUUCGAUCCCUGGCCUCCAUCCAUGGCUUAAGGAUCUGGCGUUGCCAUGAGCUGUAGUGCAGAUCACAGACAUGGCUCAGAUCCUGCGUUGCCAUGGCUCCCAUUGGACCCCCUAGCCUGGGAACCUCCAUAUGCCACGGGUGUGGCCCUAAAAAAAAUUGCUAGACAAGAAACAAAUAAGAAACCUUGGCUUCACUGCUCAAAACCAAGCCCAGAGACAACGUGGUCCUGAUCUGAGGUCCCACACAUUUCUUUCCCAGCUAGGGGUCAAAUCGGAGCUGUAGCCACCAGCCUACACCAGAGCCACAGCAAUGCGGGAUCCGAGCCGAAUCUGCAACCUACACCACAGCUCACAGCAACGCCAGAUCCUUAACCCACUGAGCAAGGGCAGGGAUCAAACCCACAACCUCAUGGUUCCUAGUCGGAUUCGUUAACCACCGCGCCACAGCGGGAACUCCUAUUCUUGAGUAGAUUAUAUUUAACUUAACAUGAUGUCAUGUGUGGCUAUGGCUGCAAGACUGGUUUUUGGAGUCAGACCCACCUGGUUUGAAUUCUGGUUCUCUGCCUAAUAGCCGUGUAUCCGAGGCAAAUGUGCUUAGUCUGUUCAGCCUCAAUGUCCACAUCUACACAAUGGGGAGGAAGAUACUGCCUAUCACAGGACUGUUGCAUUAAGAAAUUUUAUAAGGUAAGCCCAGCCUCUGACACAUAGUAAGCAAUCAAGACCUUGAUAAGGCCUGCACUGCCUCCCAAAUUCAUUCUCCUACCACGCUGUCCACGUUCACUGCCCUUCAGCCACGGUGACCUCGCUACUCUUCUUUGAAGGGGCCGAGUUUUUCCCACUUCAGGACCUUAGUUAGCACUUGCUUUUCCCUCUGCCAGCAACAUCUCACUCUCCCUCAGCCCCAUCCACACCUCUGGCUCCUGCGCAUCCUCCUGGUGUCAGCCAGUGUCUUCCAGGAGUAGGGCCAGCCAGUUAAUAGCAUGGAUUCUUGAUUCAAAUCCUGGCUCUAAUGCCUUCUGGCUCCAUCGCCUGCAGCAAGUUACUUCUCUGUAACCCACUUUCUUCAGCUGAAGAAACUGAAUGGAGUGUUAAUAUCUAUGAGGUUGUUGUGAGGA